Capsella rubella is the source of this 979-nucleotide long non-coding RNA. RefSeq lists it as uncharacterized. Lineage: Eukaryota; Viridiplantae; Streptophyta; Magnoliopsida; Brassicales; Brassicaceae. The record is from RefSeq and is a predicted model, not a curated record. The transcript has 3 exons.
CCAAGAACUUCGAUAUCUAGACUCUCUGUACGAUGUCGUGAAGAGUUCAUGAACCGGGUCGGAGAAAUAAAGAUAAGAAGCAAGAGUUUUAGGGAUGGGAAAAGCCUCUGAGAUUUACAGAGUUUGGAGAGAGCUUGGCUUCUCAGUUUUAGAGAAACAGAGUGAGAUUACUUAUGCUAGUUCCAUAGUUUGGUCUUUUCAAGAGAAGAGCAGAGAAGGUGGGAGUUAUGGAGGAAUCGCGAGAUAUACUGAUGUCAACGCUGAUUGAAUCUGGGGUUUUCAUUCCCGGAGAUUUCUCUUCCAUCGGUGAAUUUUCCUCGGAGGCGUUGGUAUCGAUCUGUGCUCAGUUGCUUAAUCUCAUUGACCCAUCCUCGGCGUCGUUUUGCGAUGAGCUCCUGAUUCUCUCCCCGAUAGGUUUAGGAUCUGCACCGAUAUCGCUCAUCCUGUGAAGAAUCUAGGCUACAUCAACGACAUGAGUUAUUACAAGAUUGUAUGUGUUGCUUGCGGCAGUUUCUGCAUCCAUUUGAAGAUGACUCGUAUAGGUUGGUUAGGUUUCUAGUUGAGAGGCUUUCAUAGAAAAAUGAAGGACUGAAAACUUCCCUAGCUAAUGAUGUAGCUAGCAGACCCACGAUGGAGAAUUUCAGAGAUACUUCAGAAGAUUUUGGAGCGUAGAGGCUAGGGUUGAAAAAAUAGUUGAGAGAGAGGGGGAGAAGGAACUUGACACCAUUAAAGAGCAGUAUCUCGGAUGUAAGAGCUUGACUUACGGACUCAGGAGAGUUGGGACAAAACUCUCAGCCUAACCAAGUGCCUAGAAGUCUACAACUAGUGAAGGGCGUCGAUCACAUGUAGAACGUCCCGAGUCCGAAGAAUCGUAUAUCGAGAUUGUCAACUUAAUUUAUGUUUAGCUUUGUAACAAAUAAUUUGAUCUUAUAAAUAAUAUAUUUAUUUAUUUGGAUUAAUAAAUUUUGUGUUUUCAUAA